RNAcentral lists this ribosomal RNA (242 nucleotides) under uncultured Alphaproteobacteria bacterium. Its description in RNAcentral is "partial 16S ribosomal RNA". It matches the Rfam family "Bacterial small subunit ribosomal RNA", at positions 1082 to 1325 of the family's 1533-position model. The record is from RNAcentral. Lineage: Bacteria; Pseudomonadati; Pseudomonadota; Alphaproteobacteria.
AAUUCCCCCAACGAGGCCAACCCUUUCCCCUAGUUGCCUUCAUUUAGUUGGGCACUUUAGGGGGAAUGCCGGUGGUAAACCGGGAGGAAGGUGGGGAUGACGUCAAGUCCUCAUGGCCCUUACGGGCUGGGCUACACACGUGCUACAAUGGCGGUGACAAUGGGCUGCAACCGCGCGAGGGGGAGCUAAUCCCAAAAAGCCGUCUCAGUUCGGAUUGCACUCUGCAACUCGAGUGCAUGAAG